This 1955-nucleotide ribosomal RNA is filed under the name Escherichia coli. Its description in RNAcentral is "partial 23S ribosomal RNA". It matches the Rfam family "Bacterial large subunit ribosomal RNA", at positions 1 to 1982 of the family's 2925-position model. Lineage: Bacteria; Pseudomonadati; Pseudomonadota; Gammaproteobacteria; Enterobacterales; Enterobacteriaceae. The record is from RNAcentral.
GUUAAGCGACUAAGCGUACACGGUGGAUGCCCUGGCAGUCAGAGGCGAUGAAGGACGUGCUAAUCUGCGAUAAGCGUCGGUGAGGUGAUAUGAACCGUUAUAACCGGCGAUUUCCGAAUGGGGAAACCCAGUGUGUUUCGACACACUAUCAUUAACUGAAUCCAUAGGUUAAUGAGGCGAACCGGGGGAACUGAAACAUCUAAGUACCCCGAGGAAAAGAAAUCAACCGAGAUUCCCCCAGUAGCGGCGAGCGAACGGGGAGGAGCCCAGAGCCUGAAUCAGUGUGUGUGUUAGUGGAAGCGUCUGGAAAGGCGUGCGAUACAGGGUGACAGCCCCGUACACAAAAAUGCACAUAUUGUGAGCUCGAUGAGUAGGGCGGGACACGUGGUAUCCUGUCUGAAUAUGGGGGGACCAUCCUCCAAGGCUAAAUACUCCUGACUGACCGAUAGUGAACCAGUACCGUGAGGGAAAGGCGAAAAGAACCCCGGCGAGGGGAGUGAAAAAGAACCUGAAACCGUGUACGUACAAGCAGUGGGAGCCUCUUUAUGGGGUGACUGCGUACCUUUUGUAUAAUGGGUCAGCGACUUAUAUUCUGUAGCAAGGUUAACCGAAUAGGGGAGCCGAAGGGAAACCGAGUCUUAACUGGGCGUUAAGUUGCAGGGUAUAGACCCGAAACCCGGUGAUCUAGCCAUGGGCAGGUUGAAGGUUGGGUAACACUAACUGGAGGACCGAACCGACUAAUGUUGAAAAAUUAGCGGAUGACUUGUGGCUGGGGGUGAAAGGCCAAUCAAACCGGGAGAUAGCUGGUUCUCCCCGAAAGCUAUUUAGGUAGCGCCUCGUGAAUUCAUCUCCGGGGGUAGAGCACUGUUUCGGCAAGGGGGUCAUCCCGACUUACCAACCCGAUGCAAACUGCGAAUACCGGAGAAUGUUAUCACGGGAGACACACGGCGGGUGCUAACGUCCGUCGUGAAGAGGGAAACAACCCAGACCGCCAGCUAAGGUCCCAAAGUCAUGGUUAAGUGGGAAACGAUGUGGGAAGGCCCAGACAGCCAGGAUGUUGGCUUAGAAGCAGCCAUCAUUUAAAGAAAGCGUAAUAGCUCACUGGUCGAGUCGGCCUGCGCGGAAGAUGUAACGGGGCUAAACCAUGCACCGAAGCUGCGGCAGCGACACUAUGUGUUGUUGGGUAGGGGAGCGUUCUGUAAGCCUGUGAAGGUGGCCUGUGAGGGUUGCUGGAGGUAUCAGAAGUGCGAAUGCUGACAUAAGUAACGAUAAAGCGGGUGAAAAGCCCGCUCGCCGGAAGACCAAGGGUUCCUGUCCAACGUUAAUCGGGGCAGGGUGAGUCGACCCCUAAGGCGAGGCCGAAAGGCGUAGUCGAUGGGAAACAGGUUAAUAUUCCUGUACUUGGUGUUACUGCGAAGGGGGGACGGAGAAGGCUAUGUUGGCCGGGCGACGGUUGUCCCGGUUUAAGCGUGUAGGCUGGUUUUCCAGGCAAAUCCGGAAAACCAAGGCUGAGGCGUGAUGACGAGGCACUACGGUGCUGAAGCGACAAAUGCCCUGCUUCCAGGAAAAGCCUCUAAGCAUCAGGUAACAUCAAAUCGUACCCCAAACCGACACAGGUGGUCAGGUAGAGAAUACCAAGGCGCUUGAGAGAACUCGGGUGAAGGAACUAGGCAAAAUGGUGCCGUAACUUCGGGAGAAGGCACGCUGAUAUGUAGGUGAAGCGACUUGCUCGUGGAGCUGAAAUCAGUCGAAGAUACCAGCUGGCUGCAACUGUUUAUUAAAAACACAGCACUGUGCAAACACGAAAGUGGACGUAUACGGUGUGACGCCUGCCCGGUGCCGGAAGGUUAAUUGAUGGGGUUAGCGGUAACGCGAAGCUCUUGAUCGAAGCCCCGGUAAACGGCGGCCGUAACUAUAACGGUCCUAAGGUAGCGAAAUUCCUUGUCGGGUAAGUU